Molecule: ribosomal RNA, 509 nt
Filed under: uncultured bacterium
Lineage: Bacteria
Description: bacterial SSU rRNA
Rfam family: Bacterial small subunit ribosomal RNA
Source: RNAcentral
UGAGUAAUGUCUGGGAAACUGCCCGAUGGAGGGGGAUAACUACUGGAAACGGUAGCUAAUACCGCAUAACGUCUUCGGACCAAAGUGGGGGACCUUCGGGCCUCACACCAUCGGAUGUGCCCAGAUGGGAUUAGCUAGUAGGUGGGGUAAUGGCUCACCUAGGCGACGAUCCCUAGCUGGUCUGAGAGGAUGACCAGCCACACUGGAACUGAGACACGGUCCAGACUCCUACGGGAGGCAGCAGUGGGGAAUAUUGCACAAUGGGCGCAAGCCUGAUGCAGCCAUGCCGCGUGUAUGAAGAAGGCCUUCGGGUUGUAAAGUACUUUUUUGUGGGGAGGAAGGCGUUAAGGUUAAUAACCUUGGCGAUUGACGUUACCCGCAAAAGAAGCACCGGCUAACUCCGUGCCAGCAGCCGCGGUAAUACGGGAGGGUGCAAGCGUUAAUCGGAAUUACUGGGCGUAAAGCGCACGCAGGCGGUCUGUCAAGUUCGGAUGUGAAAUCCCCCGGGC